Molecule: unclassified non-coding RNA, 211 nt
Filed under: plant metagenome
Description: partial contains small subunit ribosomal RNA, internal transcribed spacer 1, and 5.8S ribosomal RNA
Source: RNAcentral
UUUCCGUAGGUGAACCUGCGGAAGGAUCAUUCAUAAUAAAGUGUUUUAUGGCACUUUUUAAAAAUCCAUAUCCACCUUGUGUGCAAUGUUAGAUCUCGUCAAUCUUGGCGAGAUUUUUAUACAUCAACUCAUUCUUUAACCUAUUUGUCUGAAAAAUAUUAUGAAUACUUAAUUCAAAAUACAACUUUCAACAACGGAUCUCUUGGCUCUC